This 252-nucleotide ribosomal RNA is filed under the name uncultured bacterium. Its description in RNAcentral is "partial 16S ribosomal RNA". It matches the Rfam family "Bacterial small subunit ribosomal RNA", at positions 524 to 776 of the family's 1533-position model. The record is from RNAcentral.
UACGUAGGGAGCGAGCGUUAUCCGGAAUUAUUGGGCGUAAAGGGUGCGUAGAUGGCAUAGCAAGUCUUUUGUAAAAAUGCUGGGCUCAACCCAGUAGGGCAAAAGAUACUGCAAAGCUAGAGUAUGACAGAGGCAAGUGGAACUACAUGUGUAGCGGUAAAAUGCGUAAAUAUAUGUAAGAACACCAGUGGCGAAGGCGGCUUGCUGGGUCGAUACUGACAUUGAGGCACGAAAGCGUGGGGAGCAAACAGG